AGGGUUGCUAGCUCAAUGGUAGAGUGUUCGGCUUUUAACCGAUUUGUUCUGGGUUCAAAUCCCAGGUAACCC
This 72-nucleotide transfer RNA is filed under the name Ulva compressa. RNAcentral's name for it is "tRNA-Lys". It matches the Rfam family "tRNA". Rfam says of the family: Transfer RNA (tRNA) molecules are approximately 80 nucleotides in length. The record is from RNAcentral. Lineage: Eukaryota; Viridiplantae; Chlorophyta; Ulvophyceae; Ulvales; Ulvaceae. RNAcentral also lists the same sequence under 6 other names.